UGACCUCUGAUCAGGUAG
Molecule: ribosomal RNA, 18 nt
Filed under: Trichoderma alni
Lineage: Eukaryota; Fungi; Ascomycota; Sordariomycetes; Hypocreales; Hypocreaceae
Description: partial 28S ribosomal RNA
Source: RNAcentral